CUUAGGGUAUCUACUGUGCUUCAAUGCGCUGAAUAUCGUUUUAAAUAUUCUGUUUAUGGAUUAGGUAUGCUGUUGUUGUUGUUGUUGUUGUUGGUGACAGUUGUGUCAUUUGGCUCGCUUGGUCAAACAGUUAUGUGAUGACUAAUUUGUUAUGUAUGUGGGCAUGAGUCUGUCGGCAUAUGUGUGUGUGUGUGUGUGUAUGUGUGUGUAGAGAGUGAGGAAGAUAGAGCAACGAUGGAAGCUAGGGAAAUCGUGUGUUGUAUCAAGUGUAGAGGCGACAAAUUAAGUGGAAGCUGCUGACUGAUUGACGGCUUUUAUGUGGUUAAGAUCUCACACUGAACCGUAGCCCCACUCAAUCGAAAGAAAAUGAAAGUAUAUCAAUAGUUAGAGAGGGAUAAAGAGGAGCGGCCAUGGGUACAUAGAAAGAGAGGGAAGAUACAUAUGUAUAUGUUUUGUUAUCUUUAUAUAAUAGCUAAACCACUAGCCAGAUUCAGUUGAAGCUGGUUAAAUAAUUCAAGCGAACAAUUGGAUAACAAAAUGGGUAAAUUGAUAGCCGUGUGGGAGGCCAAAGAGUGAGAUGGGGAAAGCAAGAAAAAAAGGAAGGGGAGAGAGCAAUAGAGAGAGAGAGAGAGAUAGAGAGAGAGAGAGAGAGAGAGAGAAAGAGGAAUAGAGGUCUUUUAUUCGGAACUACAAUUGCAAACGUCUCGCUGAUCUCUUGAUUCGACUUAAUUAAUUGUCGUCGUAUUUGCAUGUAUUAUAAUAUGUGAGUGGAAAGUUACGAAGCUAACGAAAUUGGAACUGGUUCUCCAUUGAAAGGAAUGAAUAUUGUGUAAAAUUAAUUCAAUUAAAUUG
Molecule: long non-coding RNA, 852 nt
Organism: Drosophila navojoa
Lineage: Eukaryota; Metazoa; Arthropoda; Insecta; Diptera; Drosophilidae
Source: RefSeq, a predicted model, not a curated record